RNAcentral lists this ribosomal RNA (279 nucleotides) under uncultured bacterium. RNAcentral's name for it is "partial 16S ribosomal RNA". It matches the Rfam family "Bacterial small subunit ribosomal RNA", at positions 506 to 784 of the family's 1533-position model. The record is from RNAcentral.
UGCCAGCAGCCGCGGUAAUACGGAGGGUGCAAACGUUGUUCGGAAUUACUGGGCAUAAAGAGCUCGUAGGCGGCUAUGUAAGUGUGGAGUGAAAUCCCACGGCUCACCCGUGGAACUGCUUUGCAGACUGCAUGGCUAGAGGAUGGUAGGGGAGAGCGGAACUCCUGGUGGAGCGGUGAAAUGCGUAGAUAUCAGGAGGAACACCGGUGGCGAAGGCGGCUCUCUGGUCCACCCCUGACGCUGAGGAGCGAAAGCCAGGGUAGCGAACGGGAUUAGAUA